Molecule: ribosomal RNA, 384 nt
Filed under: Leegaardiella sp.
Lineage: Eukaryota; Ciliophora; Spirotrichea; Choreotrichida; Leegaardiellidae
Description: partial small subunit ribosomal RNA
Rfam family: Eukaryotic small subunit ribosomal RNA
Source: RNAcentral
AUUCCAGCUCCAAUAGCGUAUAUUAAAGUUGUUGCAGUUAAAAAGCUCGUAGUUGGAUUUCUGGCCGAGUGUCCCCAGGCCAGCAUGACGUUUGGUCCUGGGCGCUCUGCCAUCCUUCUGUCAACCUUCGCCUCGUUCAUUCGUGGCGCUGGGGCUCAGAUAUUUUACCUUGAGAAAAUUAGAGUGUUUCAGGCAGGCUUUCGCCGGAAUACAUUAGCAUGGAAUAAUGGAAAAGGACUUCAACCUCUUCUGUUGGUCUGAGAGGCUGUAGUAAUGAUUAAUAGGGAUAGUUGGGGGCAUUCGUAUUUAACUGUCAGAGGUGAAAUUCUUGGAUUUAUGAAAGACGAACUUCUGCGAAAGCAUUUGCCAAGGAUGUUUUCAUCA